Molecule: ribosomal RNA, 403 nt
Filed under: uncultured bacterium
Lineage: Bacteria
Description: bacterial SSU rRNA
Rfam family: Bacterial small subunit ribosomal RNA
Source: RNAcentral
UGGGGAAUAUUGGACAAUGGGCGCAAGCCUGAUCCAGCCAUGCCGCGUGAGUGAUGAAGGUCUUAGGAUUGUAAAGCUCUUUCACCGGUGAAGAUAAUGACGGUAACCGGAGAAGAAGCCCCGGCUAACUUCGUGCCAGCAGCCGCGGUAAUACGAAGGGGGCUAGCGUUGUUCGGAUUUACUGGGCGUAAAGCGCACGUAGGCGGACUAUUAAGUCAGGGGUGAAAUCCCGGGGCUCAACCCCGGAACUGCCUUUGAUACUGGUAGUCUUGAGUUCGAGAGAGGUGAGUGGAAUUCCGAGUGUAGAGGUGAAAUUCGUAGAUAUUCGGAGGAACACCAGUGGCGAAGGCGGCUCACUGGCUCGAUACUGACGCUGAGGUGCGAAAGCGUGGGGAGCAAACAG